This 97-nucleotide ribosomal RNA is filed under the name Pseudomonas aeruginosa. Lineage: Bacteria; Pseudomonadati; Pseudomonadota; Gammaproteobacteria; Pseudomonadales; Pseudomonadaceae. The record is from RNAcentral.
UGGAACCACCUGAUCCCUUCCCGAACUCAGAAGUGAAACGACGCAUCGCCGAUGGUAGUGUGGGGUCUCCCCAUGUGAGAGUAGGUCAUCGUCAAGC